CCUGCCCCUAGAGGCGUUGCAGAUGUGGUUGCUGUGUCACAUGUGUGUCAGUAGGUGGCAGAGAGGAGAGAGGCUAUGUCUUUGCUCAGUGUUCUGACCUCUGAACAUCUGAAUGAUUAGUAGUCUAACACU
This is a small nucleolar RNA of Arvicanthis niloticus (Nile rat), 132 nucleotides long. RefSeq annotates it as small nucleolar RNA SNORA17. NCBI's taxonomy places the organism in Eukaryota, Metazoa, Chordata, Mammalia, Rodentia, Muridae. The record is from RefSeq and is a predicted model, not a curated record.